AAAAAAAGUUCAUCAUCAGGUAUCACAAAUUGCAGAAACCUAAAGAGAAGAAGGGAACUCGAGUUUUGAGCUUCUGCAUUUAUUCUUGCAAUCCAUGGAGGCAUGGAUGAGCAAUUCAUUCUUAAAGUUCCAUUUUCUGUUGCUGAGCGCAUAGAUUUCCAUUUUAAGUGAAAAUGCUGCAUCUGCUGAGGACAAAUCACUAGAUUUGGUAUUUUCUGGUUUUGUGCAGCAGCAAAUAAUUAUUGAAUUACAAUAGUAGUCCUUGAUUUUCAGCAUAAAGUGAUGAGUGAUUACCAAAAGUAAAGGAUGGGCGGAUAUAUUUGUCAUUGGCAAUGCUCAUUGCCCUUUAUCUCUCUUGGAUAUUCCUUGUGUUGUUUAGUCAUACAAAACAUUUGACGAUGGUGCAUUAGUUAAAACAGCUGAUGUUGGCCAAGUAUGAUGAUUUUGGUCAGAGAGUCAGGAGCAGCUUCUCUGGAUGCACUGGAGUACGGACUUGGUCUCACCCCUCCAACGAGGGAUGUAUGGAAGUGAAGAUUUCAGAGGGAGCCAGAUCUAAAUUCAUCCAUAAACUACUUCUUGAAAUCUUUUUGUUUCUGCAUAUUAACUUUCAAAAGAAAAAAAAAAAGAGAAAAUUUUCUCAGAUUAUGUGGAAAUUUUAAUUUAUAGACAUAAUUUCAUAGUACUAUAUAUGCCCUGUAAUUACCAUGAUCCAUCAUUAAUGUAAUUGAUAAAAGGAGCUGUCAAAGGUAAAAUGAGGCAUGAGCUGCAUCCAAGUCUCUUAUAUGUAGUCACCAUACUUUUUCUAAGUGACUAAGCUUUCAGCACUUCUAUCUUGUGUAUGGGGGUUACUUAAUGUUAAUGCAGGUUUGGCAGUUUCUUUUCUAAUCAUUUAGUAGUUCUACUGAUUCCAGUUAUGUUAUUUCUGCAGCCAGAACAUGUACAACGUGUUGAAAAAGAUUUGGUGAAAAUCAUGUAUCUCCUUGAUACAUCUAAUUUCUAUAUUGUAUCUUUGGUUAUGUUUUAGCAAAUGAUUCUUUUUUUUUCUAGUCUUGAAGUAGCCACCGAUGGAAUAAAAUUCCAUGACUGAAAAUCAAAUCAUAUUAUUUGGUCCAAUCAUCACUGGAAAUUAAGUCACUUUAUCGAGACAUACAUCAUCAUGUCCUUGAUGUGUGGGUCUCCGAAUGGUAACAGGGAUUGAAUGAGGAAUCUUAUUUAACCAUCUGCAUUCUUGAUUGAGUGUUUUGUGUCUUUAUGAGAUGGGUUGUGUUUAUACCUUAAUCGUGAUUUACAUGCGGAGGCCAAUGGGCAAGGUGAAGAUGGCAAUGCAAACAAGAACACCUGCAACGAAGCCUGAGGUUCCAGGUACAGGAGGCAAAGCUGGGGAGCCUGAUGGAACUGACUCUGAUGAUUGAAUGUGAAUUCAAUCUUAAAGCUUAACGGGUCAAAACGGGUAGGUUAGUGUGGAUUGUAACACUGUGGUUAAAAAAUGUAUAUGUUUGAUUGUUUAGAAUUUUGAUAAAAAGAGAGAGAGAGAGAUACAGAAACACUUGAAUUUCCAUGCAAAUUUACUUC
Molecule: non-coding RNA, 1572 nt
Organism: Durio zibethinus
Lineage: Eukaryota; Viridiplantae; Streptophyta; Magnoliopsida; Malvales; Malvaceae
Source: RefSeq, a predicted model, not a curated record